RNAcentral lists this ribosomal RNA (409 nucleotides) under uncultured Nitrososphaerota archaeon. RNAcentral's name for it is "bacterial SSU rRNA". It matches the Rfam family "Archaeal small subunit ribosomal RNA", at positions 338 to 749 of the family's 1478-position model. Lineage: Archaea; Thermoproteati; Nitrososphaerota. The record is from RNAcentral.
CGAGAAAAACUUUAGCAAUGUGCGAAAGCACGACAAGGUUAAUCCGAGUGUUUUCUGCUAAAGAAAUCUUUUGUCAGUCCUAAAACACUGAUGAAUAAGGGUGGGCAAGUUCUGGUGUCAGCCGCCGCGGUAAAACCAGCACCUCAAGUGGUCAGGAGGAUUAUUGGGCCUAAAGCAUCCGUAGCCUGCUUUGUAAGUUUUCGGUUAAAUCCAUAUGCUCAACAUAUGGGCUGCCGGGAAUACUGCACAGCUAGGGAGUGGGAGAGGUAGACGGUACUCGGUAGGAAGGGGUAAAAGUCCUUUGAUCUAUUGAUGACCACCUGUGGCGAAGGCGGUCGUACCAGAACACGUUCGACGGUGAGGGAUGAAAGCUGGGGAGCAAACCGGAUUAGAUACCCGGGUAGUCCCA